RNAcentral lists this ribosomal RNA (492 nucleotides) under uncultured bacterium. RNAcentral describes it as "partial 16S ribosomal RNA". It matches the Rfam family "Bacterial small subunit ribosomal RNA", at positions 29 to 507 of the family's 1533-position model. The record is from RNAcentral.
AGUGAACGCUGGCGGUAGGCUUAACACAUGCAAGUCGAACGGCAGCACAGUAAGAGCUUGCUCUUAUGGGUGGCGAGUGGCGUACGGGUGAGGUAUACAUCGGACUCUACUUUUUCGUGUGGCUUCACGUAGGUAAACCUACUCUCAUAUCGCAUACGACCUUCGGGUGAAAGCAGGGGAUCUUCGGACCUUGCGCGGUUGAAUGAGCCGCUGUCGGAUUGGCUAGUUGGCGGGGUAAUGGCCCACCAUGGCGACGAUCCGUAGCCGGUCUGAGAGGAUGGUCGGCCGCACUGGAACUGAGACACGGUCCAGACUCCUAAGGGAGGCAGCAGUGGGGAAUGUUGGACAAUGGGCGCAAGCCUGGUCCGACCAGACCGCGUGGGUGAAGAAGGCCUUCGGGUUGUAAAGCCCGUUUGUUGGGAAAGAAAAGCAGCAGGUUAAGACCCCGCUGUUCUGACGGUAACCAAAAAAGAAGCACCGGCUAACUUCGUG